Molecule: long non-coding RNA, 325 nt
Organism: Vespa mandarinia (Asian giant hornet)
Lineage: Eukaryota; Metazoa; Arthropoda; Insecta; Hymenoptera; Vespidae
Source: RefSeq, a predicted model, not a curated record
UCGUUCCCCCUUCUGACAGUCAGCUGGCCUAUCCCACCAACCUCACCCCACUUCACCCCACCUCUUCUAUUUCUUCCUCUUCUUCACCCCUCUUUCUCCUCGUUCUCCUCCUGUCGUACACUUCGAGAGCGCUUGUCUUUCUCUCUCCCACCAAAAACUCAUUUCUCUUUCUCUCAACGCAAGUCAUACGAACGCUAACCUCUUAUCCAACGGAAUAACAGAAGAUUUUACGAUCCUCCGAAACAUCUAGCCCUUCCUCGAUAUGCAUCAGCGACCUGCCUUAAUGUAGCGUGCAUAUGUAAUAACGAUUAGCCUAUGCCGGAUA